Non-coding RNA from Cherax quadricarinatus, 85 nucleotides. Lineage: Eukaryota; Metazoa; Arthropoda; Malacostraca; Decapoda; Parastacidae. The record is from RefSeq and is a predicted model, not a curated record.
GUGCUGUGUUCAGAGCACAGCCUCACAAGAAGGUGCUGUGUUCAGAGCACAGCCUACAAGAAGGUGCUGUGAUCAGAGCACAGCU